AGUGCUAUGGAACGUAUUUCAGG
This 23-nucleotide non-coding RNA is filed under the name Arabidopsis thaliana (thale cress). The record is from RNAcentral. Lineage: Eukaryota; Viridiplantae; Streptophyta; Magnoliopsida; Brassicales; Brassicaceae.